UCGACCCAAAACACCUAACCCUCACAUCUUUUUCUCUCCCUCUCUCAUUCAGCCGCCUUACCCCUACUCCAUUUCUCUCAAUCUCUGUCUCCCAUCCCUCUCUCUCCCAUGGUCUCUCUCGAUGACUCACCAUCUCCAUCUCUCAGCCCCACUCUGUCUAUCUAUCUCUAUCUCUCUCUCUCUCUCUCUCUCUCUCUCUCUCUCUCUUUGUAUCAGGCAUCGCCGACGGUGUGGUGGGCUUGACAACAAAGGCAAAGGCGGAGGCGGAGACAGAGGCAGAGGCAGGGGUCUCGGCUCUCUCAGUCCUUCGUCCUCCCAUCUCUCUCUCUCUCUCGUUCAUUUUUUUUUUCUUUUUGCAGAUGGUGCUCAUGUUGGUGGUGAUUGUUCUGGGUGGCCGUGGUUCAGAGUGGUGGUGGCAGCAGGCUAUGGCUUAGGAUGUUAUAAUACAACAGAGUUGUGGUGGUGCGUGGCAUGGUUGGUGGUGCAACGGGGCUUGCCAACCCUUAACAGCAAUUGAGAGAUUAGCAGAGGCGUCUCUGCCAAGAAUGCCACGACAUCGAACACCAAAUUAGAGGCAAUGCCCUCUCUCUCUCUCUCUCUCUCUCUCUCUCUCUCUCUCUCUCUCCAAGGUAAAUUUCUUUUUUAGUGGUUGAGGUUAUUAUUUUUUGAUAUGGGUUUGUUUGCUUGAUUGUUUCUAGAUGUUCAGAGAGAGAAGGGUGUGGAGAAAGCCAUUAAAGAUGCUGCCAAGAGAAAUGACAUGGGCUCAGCCAAGGUGUCAGUGAAAAUGCCUCAAUGGAGUAAUAUUGUUGUGGUGUCCACGCCACGCCUCAAUGUAUUCAUCUUUUUUAUUUGCAAGGAAGCUAGGGAUACAUUUGUUCAGAUUGAUCAUACUUUGGGCUAUAUUGUUCAUUAAGUUAGGAAUAUUUGUUUCUUUCUUGGUAUUGAUUAAAUGUAUAAUAAAUCUUGGAUACUAUUUGACAUCUCAUUGAGUAUAAGUUUUGUAAUUAUCUCAUUGAAUUUAUAA
Molecule: long non-coding RNA, 1024 nt
Organism: Humulus lupulus (European hop)
Lineage: Eukaryota; Viridiplantae; Streptophyta; Magnoliopsida; Rosales; Cannabaceae
Exons: 3
Source: RefSeq, a predicted model, not a curated record